RNAcentral lists this ribosomal RNA (189 nucleotides) under uncultured bacterium. Its description in RNAcentral is "partial 16S ribosomal RNA". It matches the Rfam family "Bacterial small subunit ribosomal RNA", at positions 338 to 524 of the family's 1533-position model. The record is from RNAcentral.
CCUACGGGAGGCAGCAGUAAGGAAUAUUGGUCAAUGGACGCAAGUCUGAACCAGCCAUGCCGCGUGGAGGAUGAAGGUCCUCUGGAUUGUAAACUUCUUUUAUUUGGGAAGAAACCCGGGAUUUCUAUUCCGGUUGACGGUACCAGAUGAAUAAGCACCGGCUAACUCCGUGCCAGCAGCCGCGGUAAU